AAAUAUCUUCUCCUUUACAGUAUUGUUGAAAAUCACUUUUAUCUUCUACCGCAAAAUGUAAAAUCUUAGUAUGUGAAGUUUUUGAUACAUUGUAGAAUCAAAAGAAGUAGGAGUAUUAUAAAUUCCAAUUCAAAAGGUUUUCGACGAUUUUACAUUUAUUGAUGACAUCAAAAGUAAUUUAGCGCCAAACAAGUAAUGUUAUUGUAUACAAUUAUGAUACAAUGCAUCAAAUUUUAGACUUAGUUUUGCAUCGAUUUAACUAUCUUGAGAUUAGAACAUGGGUGAACAACUGUGACCUUAAUUUGUGACUUCAUGAUAUCAGAAUAGUUAUCAUAUUUGUAAUUUAACCAAAAAAAGCGCUUCGGAAACAUAAAAUUCAUAUAAUAUAAAUAAAAGAAUAUUUUAUUCUUUUCGUUGACUAUUAGCAGACAACUUCUAAAACAGAAAAGAAAAUACAAUAACUUUAUGAGAUGCUGUCUAACUUACCCGUACCUAAACUGUGACAAUGAUUUUUCUUUUAUGUAGAACUUAUUAUUGACAUUUUUUUCGAUAAUUGUAAAAUCUUUUGUGAUAUUAAUGAGACCUGG
This 587-nucleotide long non-coding RNA is filed under the name Mytilus galloprovincialis (Mediterranean mussel). Lineage: Eukaryota; Metazoa; Mollusca; Bivalvia; Mytilida; Mytilidae. The record is from RNAcentral.